Molecule: ribosomal RNA, 406 nt
Filed under: uncultured bacterium
Lineage: Bacteria
Description: partial 16S ribosomal RNA
Rfam family: Bacterial small subunit ribosomal RNA
Source: RNAcentral
AUUGAACGCUGGCGGCAGGCCUAACACAUGCAAGUCGAGCGAGCGGCGGACGGGUGAGUAAUGUCAGGGAAACUGCCUGAUGGAGGGGGAUAACUACUGGAAACGGUAGCUAAUACCGCAUACCAUCAGAUGUGCCCAGAUGGGAGUAGCUAGUAGGUGGGGUAACGGCUCACCUAGGCGACGAUCCCUAGCUGGUCUGAGAGGAUGACCAGCCACACUGGAACUGAGACACGGUCCAGACUCCUACGGGAGGCAGCAGUGGGGAAUAUUGCACAAGGGGCGCAAGCCUGAGGCAGCCAUGCCGCGUGUGUGAAGAAGGCCUUCGGGUUGUAAAGCACUUUCAGCGGGGAGGCGGGAGGCGAAGAAGAAGCACCGGCUAACUCCGUGCCAGCAGCCGCGGUAAUUA